AACUUAGGACUUUCCUGCAAUCUCAAUCAAACAUAUCAGAUAACAAAACAACUUAACUUUGAAUCCUUUGACAUAAUCAAAACACAGGUUCGAUCGUCGGAUGCUUCCCGCACCAACACUGAUGACCCUAUGUUAUUCACUUGAAAGAAAAAGAAAAAUUAGAGCACAUGCUUAUUAGACAUGCAUAUGUAGUUGAAUUUUACCUUAUAGACGUCUAUAUUGAACUAGUUUUAUUUGGUCUUCCCAGUUAAGGAACAUUGUAUGGUUAGACUGGAUGACUAGAUGAUUUCUCUAGCUUACAUUUAGGUCAAUAAGUAUACAAAGAAUCAACAAAAAAAAGGAAAAAAUCUUCGAGUAAAAGGAAGUGUAAUGGAUGAAAUAUAAUAUUUAUAUCAUAGAGCUAAAGCUUUUUAGUUAGAUAGUAAUGUUUUUCCAAAUUGACAUGUACUUGGACAAUACUAUUGUGGUAAGUGAAAAUUAAAUUUUUAUACUUUUUUUAUUACUCUCUUAGGGUUAAAUUAUAUUCUAUGCAUGCAAUUCAUGUUAAAUGCCUUCUUAAUACUGAUUGCACAUGGAUCUCACAUAUGCAUUGGCAUGGUGAUGUCCUUUGGGUAAAUGUACUAAUAAACUGAAAUUCUGUAAAUAUUUGGGCUAAACAAUGAGAAAAUCAUACUCGUGCCAAGUAUUUUGAGAACUCAAGCUUGUGCCAUUUCAUAUCUAUGCUCGAUGAGUUUAGAUAUUUAACAUGCAAAUCACACUUAUGAUUUGAAGCAAGUGAAAUAUAAUCAAACUCUGCAUUUUUCAAUGCUAGCUCUCAGUAGUAUUUCUUGUUUUAUAGUUCAUUUUUUAUGCUAUUAAGACCAACUAUUUCUUUUACCUUGUUAAAUGUUCAUGACAAAUUAGAUAACUUUCUGAAGAUCAAAUUUUGGCAUUGCUGAUUUUUCUUAGAUCAUGACUAUAUAGCUCCCAUUAUCUAGAAUUGGAAUAGUAUGCCAACCAAUGUUGUCAAAAUCGCGAGUCGGAACGUAGAAUCGCACGAUUCUACGCAUUUUUGGUGGCCUUCCGCGUUGCGUGCCCAGGCGGAAGCGGAAUCUGGUGGAAUCGUGCAGAAUCGCGUGGAAGCGUAGCGGAAAUCGUAGACUCGUAAGAGUCCAGCGAUUCUACGCGAAAUGUCCGCUGGUUUUCCAAGACCAGAAGACCAGAAGGUCGAUCGCAGCGAUCGAUCAAACACGGGUCCAAGAAACCCCGCUCCAAAUAACACGUGCGUUUCUCCUUCAGAAAAAUAGGGAGAUCGGUCUGUGGACCGAUCCACCUAUGGCCUGAUCGGUCCACAGACCGAUCGGCCCUUGCAGAUCGGUCUUGCAGAUCGGUCUGUGGACCUAUCAGCCCCUAGGCUGAUCGGUCCCCAGACCGAUCAGCAAGGGCCGAUCCCUGAUUUCCGCCUCGUCACGUGUUUCUCACGAGUCGGUUGUCGUUUUCUGCGUGGGACAGAGGGACAGGGAGAGUUUCGGGACAGAAGAUUUGAUCUCAAAAAACCCUAACUUUCCUAAGUCGCGUCGCGAGCCAUUGUCGCCGCAACUGCUGUGCUUCGUUCUUCUUCAGCAACCAUCAUCUCCUUCACGUACGCGUCUGUCUCCUCCUCCCUGUGCGUCCGGUGUGCGUCGACCGGCACUGUGACUGACUUCAAUUAAAGGUACGCCAUCAUCCGCCUCUGUCCCUUCUCCAUCUAUCUCAUCUGUGGGUCUCUGUUCUUUACUUCUUUGGCCGUCUCUGUCCCGUCUGCAUCUCUGAAGGCUGUUGGCCACGUCUGUGGUUCGCGAGCUGCUGUUGCAGAGUUGCAGUGUCAUUGGUGAAGCUGAAGCUGCGUGGUGGUGUUCUUGUUCUUCUUUAAUUUCACAAAAAUGAGUAGAGAAGCUAGUGUUGGUGGGUCUGGUGAAGCAAGCUCCAAUAGUGGUGCAGCCAUUCCAAGCGUAGCUUCCACAACUAGUGGAACUUCAGAUUCCAAAAGAUUGGCAGUGAAUGCUCCUGGAAAUAGAUCUGAUCCAGGUUGGAAACAUGGAAUUGCAGUUGAUGAAAAUCCAAAGAAAGUGCAAUGCAAAUACUGUCAAAAGGUGAUAAAUGGAGGGAUUUAUAGACUCAAGCAUCAUUUGGCAGGAACACAAAAGGAUGUUGGAGCAUGCAAGGCUGUUAGUGAUGAUGUAAGGAAGGAAAUGUGGAAAAUUGUAUCCUCAUUGCAAGAAAAUUUAAUAAAGAGGGCAAAGGAGAUUGAAGGAAGAUCAAGUGAUUCAAGUCCUCUUGGCCAAUAUGAAGAUGAGGAGGUGGAGGGUGCAAAAAGACAAAGGCGAGAAAUUGCAAAGAAUCCUGCUGAUCUAUUCAAGAAAAGGGGUGUGAGUAGUCAAACUACCAUCAAUGGCAUUUUCAAGAAGAAUUUGAGGGAGGAAGCUUGCCAAGGGAUUGCCUCUUUUUUCUACAAUAAUGCUAUACCUUUUCAUGUGGCAAAAAGUGAUGAAUUCAAGAAGAUGCUAGACUUGGUUGCAAGACAUGGUAUUGGCUUUAAGCCUCCAUCCUACCAUGAGAUUAGAGUCAAGUAUUUGAAACAACAAGUUGAUUGCACCAAAGAAGUUAUAGAGCAGCACAAAGCAUUUUGGAAGAAAAUGGGAUGCACAAUUAUGACUGAUGGGUGGACAGAUAAGAGGAGGAGGACUAUAUUAAACUUCUUGGUUAAUAGUCCUAUGGGAACCAUUUUUUUGAAGUCAAUUGAUGCAUCUGAUAUAUCUAAAACAGCUGACAAGAUUUUCAAGUUGAUGGAUGAAAUUGUUGAAGAAGUUGGUGAAGAGAAUGUAGUGCAAAUUGUCACAGACAAUGCAGCAAACUACAAAGCAGCCGGGGAGAUGUUGAUGGGGAAGAGAAAGAGGCUAUAUUGGACGCCUUGUGCAGCUCAUUGCAUCGAUUUAAUGUUGGAGGAUUUUGAAAAAAGAUACCAAUACAUAAAGAGACAAUUGCACGAGGUAAAAAGAUCACAACUUACAUCUAUUCAAGGACUGCGCUUAUUUCUCUAUUGCAUCAUUUUACCAAAGAAAAGGAUUUGAUUAGACCAGCCACUACCCGUUUUGCCACAUCUUACUUGACUUUGGGUUGCUUGAAUGACAAUAAGGGAGCAUUGAUUAGAAUGUUUACAUCCAAAGAAUGGAAAUCUAGUCAAUUUGCAAAGACUAAAGAUGGAAAGGUUAUUGAAAAUGUGGUAAUGGAUAAGGACUUCUGGAAAAGCAUUAUUACAUGCUUGAGGAGUGCUUAUCCUUUGAUCAAAGUCCUUCGUUUGGUAGACUCAGAUGAGAAGCCUGCCAUGGGUUUCAUUUAUGAGGAAAUGGACAGGGCCAAAGAAAAGAUACAAGCUGCCUUUAAUGGUAUUAAGAAAAGUUACUUGCCUCUAUGGGAAAUUAUAGAUGCAAGAUGGGAUAAUCAACUACAUCGGCCUUUGCAUGCUGCGGGCUAUUACCUUAACCCUCAAUUUCAUUACAGUCCUAAUUUUAAAGCUGACUUUGAAGUGAAAAGAGGAAUAUAUGAUUGUCUACAAAGGAUGGUUGAAAGUAUGGAAGAAGUAAAGAAGAUUGAUGCUCAACUGGAAGACUUCAAAUAUCGAAAGAAAUUCUUUGGUAGUGCAGUAGCCACUUGUGGAAUUGAAACCAAAACUCCAGCACAAUGGUGGGAAUCAUAUGGUUAUGAACAUCCUGAGUUGCAAAAGUUUGUUAUUCGUGUUUUGAGCUUGACAUGCAGCUCAUCUGGCUGUGAGAGAAAUUGGAGUGCAUUUGAGAUGGUCCACACUAAGAGAAGAAAUCGUUUGAAGGCAAAAACGAUGAAUGACGUAGUCUUUGUGAUGGCUAAUUCAAAAUUAGCCAAGAAGAAGGAAUUGAGGAAAGUCAAUGACUAUAGCAUUGAUGACCUAGCUUCUGAUGAUGAUUGGAUUGUGGAUGAUAGUGAAAAUUUAGAUUUGGAUGCUUCAAAUGAAGAUUUGGUUCCAGUUGAAGAAGGACCUAGUAGUGGAGCACCUCAUGAUGAUUUGGAGCUGCCUAGUUAUGAUGAUGAUGAAGUUGAAGAAGGUGGAGAUGCCAUGGAGGAUGCUGGAGAUGAAGAACACAUGGAGGAUGAUUAUGAAUUCAUGAAUUUAUGAAGUUUAGACUUUAGAACUUGACUAUUAUUUUUCAUGUUGUAGACUUAUAUGUUAUCUAAAAUUUGUGACUUAUGACUUA
This is an RNA transcript of Zingiber officinale, 4247 nucleotides long. RefSeq lists it as uncharacterized. The record is from RefSeq and is a predicted model, not a curated record. The transcript is spliced from 3 exons. Lineage: Eukaryota; Viridiplantae; Streptophyta; Magnoliopsida; Zingiberales; Zingiberaceae.